UGAGCGACCUGCCGAUCUGCGGGGGAUAGCCGGCCCAACGGCCGGGUAAUACCGCAUACGCUCCCCUCCGGGCAUCCGGGGGGCGAGGAAACCUCCGGGGCGGAUCGAGGGCUCGCGGCCUAUCAGCUAGUUGGGGGGUAACGCCUCCCAAGGCGGCGACGGGUAGCUGGU
This 171-nucleotide ribosomal RNA is filed under the name uncultured bacterium. Its description in RNAcentral is "partial 16S ribosomal RNA". It matches the Rfam family "Bacterial small subunit ribosomal RNA", at positions 118 to 291 of the family's 1533-position model. The record is from RNAcentral.